AACGAACGCUGGCGGCAUGCCUAACACAUGCAAGUCGAACGAGACCUUCGGGUCUAGUGGCGCACGGGUGCGUAACGCGUGGGAACCUGCCCUUAGGUUCGGAAUAACUCCCCGAAAGGGGUGCUAAUACCGGAUAAUGUCUUCGGACCAAAGAUUUAUCGCCUUUGGAUGGGCCCGCGUUGGAUUAGCUAGUUGGUAGGGUAAAAGCCUACCAAGGCGACGAUCCAUAGCUGGUCUGAGAGGAUGAUCAGCCACACUGGGACUGAGACACGGCCCAGACUCCUACGGGAGGCAGCAGUGGGGAAUAUUGGACAAUGGGCGAAAGCCUGAUCCAGCAAUGCCGCGUGAGUGAUGAAGGCCUUAGGGUUGUAAAGCUCUUUUACCCGGGAUGAUAAUGACAGUACCGGGAGAAUAAGCUCCGGCUAUCUCCGUG
Molecule: ribosomal RNA, 433 nt
Filed under: uncultured bacterium
Lineage: Bacteria
Description: partial 16S ribosomal RNA
Rfam family: Bacterial small subunit ribosomal RNA
Source: RNAcentral